This 169-nucleotide ribosomal RNA is filed under the name Elusimicrobiota bacterium. RNAcentral describes it as "Elusimicrobia bacterium partial 16S ribosomal RNA". It matches the Rfam family "Bacterial small subunit ribosomal RNA", at positions 1 to 169 of the family's 1533-position model. Lineage: Bacteria; Pseudomonadati; Elusimicrobiota. The record is from RNAcentral.
UUACGGAGAGUUUGAUCCUGGCUCAGAGUGAACGCUGGCGGCAUGCCUAACACAUGCAAGUCGAACGGACUUUGGCAGUGUAUCGUCAAGGUUAGUGGCAAACGGGUGUGUAAUACGUGAAUAACCUCCCUUCGAGUGGGGGAUAACUCCGGGAAACCGGAGCUAAUAC